CACGUGUUCGCAUCACUCAAGAGGAGGAGGUCGAGUUUUUUCUUCUUUAUUCUCGACAAAAGAAGAAAAAAAUAAAGGAUUUGAUUCGCAGCGCGGAGACCAUUAGAGGAAGAACAGAGGCAGAGGAUCAGAUCCCGGCACGGACCGAGAGAGAAAGAGGGGGACUCAGACAAGAGAGAGAGAGAGAGAGAGGGGGCUCGACACGCUUUUGCAACAUUUCGGAGCACGACAAAAACGAAAUCAAAAUAGUUAUUUUUUUUUACUACUACCCAGGGAUCAGUGAGAAUUAAAGCGACGCUGUGAAGUGUGUUAAAACCCGUCUUCGAUCUGGAUCAGACCCGACACACAGAGAGACAGAGAGACACAGAGAGACACAGAGAGACAGAGAGAGAGACAGAGAGAGAGAGAUCCAGCCACCUGCCAGCCUCCUGCUUUCAGCCAAAGACGCGCCGAUAAAGGAACCCCAUCGAAUAAGCGAGACUUCCACACAACCGCACCUGCGCCGACAGCAGCGACUGUCAGGGUUACUCUCCCCUCCGAUUAUCAUCACCACUACUAUUAUUAUUAUUAUUACUAGAGUAUUCAUUCAUUCAUUUAUUUAUUGUUUUUUUUAUAUAUAUUAUUGAAUAAAUUAAGGAAAUAUUUAUAUACAUCACCGCCCGUGCACUUGUUUUUAAAGGGAAUUAAAAAGAGGAAAAAAGAGAGAGAUUAUUAUUAUUAUUAUUAUUAUUAUUAUACAAAAAUAAGCAUAUUUUGUAUUGGGAGACUGGAAAAAAACAACACGUACAUUAUAUAUAUAUAAAUAUAUAUAUAUAGAGGGAGAGAGAGAGGGAGAGACGUUAGCUAGAUAUAUAUAUAUAUAUAUAUUUUGUAUACAGUAUUUAUUUGAGCAGCUGCAGGGAGCCUCUUAGCGCGUUACCAAUGAAGGAAUCUGACGCGAUCAAGCUGUUCAUUGGACAAAUACCCAGAAACCUGGAAGAAAAGGAUCUGAAACCCAUCUUCGAACAGUUCGGCAAAAUCUACGAGCUCACCGUGAUCAAGGACAAGUACACAGGCAUGCAUAAAGGCUGUGCGUUCCUCACAUACUGUGCCCGUGAGUCGGCGCUGAAGGCCCAGAGCGCGCUGCACGAGCAGAAGACCCUGCCUGGGAUGAAUCGACCGAUCCAAGUGAAGCCAGCAGACAGUGAGAGCAGAGGAGAGGACAGGAAGUUGUUUGUGGGCAUGCUGGGUAAGCAGCAGCUGGACGAGGACGUGCGGAAGAUGUUUGAGGUGUUCGGCAGCAUCGACGAGUGCACGGUGCUGAGGGGGCCCGACGGGACCAGCAAAGGUUGUGCCUUCGUCAAGUACCAGUCGCACGCUGAGGCUCAAGCUGCCAUCAAUACCCUGCAUGGGAGCCGAACCCUACCGGGCGCCUCCUCCAGUCUGGUUGUGAAGUUCGCAGACACGGAGAAGGAGAGGGGGCUCCGGCGCAUGCAGCAGGUAGCCAAUCAGCUGGGCAUGUUCACCCCCAUGACUCUGCAGUUCGGAGCCUACAGCGCCUACUCACAAGCGGUAAGGGAGGGGCUCCAGCAGCGAGCACAGCCAGCAUAUCUCGACAUAGGGCUCACCCCCACCCUGUUGAUGCAGCAGCAGUCAGCCAUGGUGGCGGCUCAGAGUGCCUACCUCAACCCCAUGGCUACCAUGGCAGCCGUGCAGAUGCAGCAGAUGGCAGCGCUGAACGCCAACGGCCUGAUCGCCACGCCCAUCGCCACGCCCCUCGCCCCCUCCUCAGUCUGUCCCCCCCGCUCAGUUCAGGUGUCAGUCUCGGCUCACCGCCCCUGUGAUUGGUCCAUUGCAGGUACGAGCACGCCCCCCACCCUGGCGGCCACGCCCGUGCCUGCCCUGCCGGCGCAGAUGGGGGUGAACGGGUACAGCGCUGUGCCGACGCAGCCCAGCGGGCAGGGAGCCUCAGAAUCAAUCUACAGUAACGGGGUGCACCCCUACCCUGCUCAAAGUCCAGCCAGUACAGUGGAUCAGCUACAGCAAGCAUACGCUGGCAUGCAGCACUACACAGCGGCGUACCCAGCUGCAUACGGAUUGGUCAGCCAGGCGUUUCCACAGCAACCAACCAUCGUCGCCCAGCAACACCAGCAGCCACAGCAGCAGCAGCAGAGAGAGGGUCCGGAGGGCUGCAAUAUCUUCAUCUACCACCUCCCCCAGGAGUUCUCCGACUCCGAGAUGCUCCAGAUGUUCCUGCCCUUCGGGAACGUCAUCUCCGCCAAGGUCUUCGUGGACCGCGCCACCAAUCAGAGCAAGUGCUUCGGCUUCGUGAGUUUUGACAAUCCUGCCAGCGCGCAGGCUGCUAUCCAGGCCAUGAACGGCUUUCAGAUCGGGAUGAAGAGACUGAAGGUGCAGCUCAAGAGGCCAAAGGACGCCAACCGUCCGUACUGAGAGAGCGAGGGAGCGAGAGCCCAGGCGGGGUCCAAUCAUAUCUCGAGAUGACAGCGUCGCUAUGACGUUACCUAGACAACCAUUAGCUGUCACGGGAGACAUAGCCCCGCCCCUUGUUUUUUUUUCGGAGGCUGAUAAAGGACAGAGAUUGAGGAAAUAUUCUCCUUUUCGUCAACCUCCCCCCACACCCCCGCGCACGCACGCACGCACGCACACACACACGCACGCACGCACACACAGACACGCAAUCAAAGUCGACAGACAGUUCUGUUUUUUCUCCGAGAAGCAGAUUGGGGGUUAUGAUUUGUUUAGACGUUAGGUAUAUCGAGGCAAGGUCGAGGGGUGACUUGGUUAGGUGUAGUGGCAGCAUGUCUCCACCAGAUGGCGACCUUGUAUAACUUUUUGGCGCGUUUUAUUGAGUACAUUUUUUUUACCCACGUUGACCAAAAAUCCUCAAUCCUCAAACCUGAAGUCUUACUGGACAUCAUGUCGUUUUAAUAGUUUUUAUUUCUCUGUCUCUCUCUCUCUGUUUUUUAAAUAUAUAUUAUACAGUAUAUGAGAAUUAGAACUAUGAUCUUUAGAAAUCCAGACUUUUAAACUUGGUGGGGGCGGGGUGGGGUGUGGUGGGGCGGGGUGGGGGGUUACUGGACGGUAUUUAAAAAAAAAAAAAAAAAAAAGAUUAUUAUUAAUGUUUUUUUGAUCUAUCAAUCAUAAUAAAUGUAAAAAAAAAAGUAAUACAAAAUGGUAACUGAUUUUAAAAGAAAAUAUAGAAAAAAAACAAUGUUUACAUCGACACAACUGUCCUAUAAUUGUAAAUAAUUGAGUUUAAAGAAAAUAAAAGCAGCUGAAUUGAGCGGAGUGACAGCGAGCAGCGAGCGCGUGCGUCUCACAGCGCGCUUUGUUUUAUAAAGGGUGGAGCGAGGGGGCGUUUUCUCUUUUUCUAUUAGCUCACGAUAUUUGAUUAUUUUAGAGAACUGUAGCUAUUCAACUUGGCACCCUGUACAUUCCAGACGUUAUCUUUGCUUAAUUUAUUUCUUAUUUAUUGUACCUUUUUUUUUCCUUUUUAAUUAAUUUAUUAUUUUCUUUCUCUCUGUAAUAAAGAAUUCAAGCAAA
Molecule: RNA transcript, 3543 nt
Organism: Acipenser ruthenus (sterlet)
Lineage: Eukaryota; Metazoa; Chordata; Actinopteri; Acipenseriformes; Acipenseridae
Gene name: CUGBP Elav-like family member 3
Exons: 14
Source: RefSeq, a predicted model, not a curated record